UCUCCGUAGGUGAACCUGCGGAGGGAUCAUUACAGAGUUCUCGCCCUCACGGGUAGAUCUCCCACCCACUGUUAUCGUUACUGUCGUUUCUUUGGCGGGCCGCCGGGUCCCCGGCCGCCGGCGCCUAGCUGCCGGCGCGCGCCCGCCAGAGGCCUUCAAACUCCGUAUGUUAGUGUCGUCUGAGUACUAUAUAAUAGUUAAAACUUUCAACAACGGAUCUCUUGGUUCUG
This 230-nucleotide unclassified non-coding RNA is filed under the name plant metagenome. Its description in RNAcentral is "partial contains small subunit ribosomal RNA, internal transcribed spacer 1, and 5.8S ribosomal RNA". The record is from RNAcentral.